AAAGUUUGACAGACAAUCGCCGGCGGCCGCAGGGCCGCGGGAGGAAAGUCCGGGCUCCAUAAGGCAGGGUGCUGGAUAACGUCCAGUCGGCGCGAGCCGAAGGAUAGUGCCACAGAAAUGGACCGCCGAUGGCUGCAGGUCGUCAAGACAUGCAGCACAGGCAAGGGUGGAACCGAGGUGUAAGAGACCCCGAGGAGCGAUGGUGACAUCGUUCCUGGUAAACCCCACCUGGAGCAAGACCUAAUGGAACGCAGCCGAUUCCCUUGCGGAUGAGGCAGCCUUAGCCUGAGGCGCGUUCGGGUUGGUCGCUGGAGCUGUGCAGCAAUGUACGGCCUAGAUAGAUGAUUGUCGCUCACAGUGGGAGGGUAGUUCCCGACAGUACCACAACGAGCACAGAACCCGGCUUACGGCAAACUUUCCUA
Molecule: non-coding RNA, 422 nt
Organism: Paenibacillus stellifer
Lineage: Bacteria; Bacillati; Bacillota; Bacilli; Caryophanales; Paenibacillaceae
Rfam family: Bacterial RNase P class A
About the family: Ribonuclease P (RNase P) is a ubiquitous endoribonuclease, found in archaea, bacteria and eukarya as well as chloroplasts and mitochondria. Its best characterised activity is the generation of mature 5'-ends of tRNAs by cleaving the 5'-leader elements of precursor-tRNAs.
Source: Rfam